UACGUAGGGGGCGAGCGUUGUCCGGAUUUAUGGGCGUAAAGAGCGUGUAGGCGGCCAGGUAGGUCGCUGUGAAAAACUCGAGGCUCACCUCGAGACGUCGGCGGAAACCAUCUGGCUAGAGUCCGGAAGAGGAGAGUGGAAUUCCUGGUGUAGCGGUGAAAUGCGCAGAUAUCGGGAGGAACACCAAUGGCGAAGGCAGCUGCUGGACGGUACUGACGCUGG
Molecule: ribosomal RNA, 222 nt
Filed under: uncultured bacterium
Lineage: Bacteria
Description: partial 16S ribosomal RNA
Rfam family: Bacterial small subunit ribosomal RNA
Source: RNAcentral